UUUUAUGGAGAGUUUGAUCCUGGCUCAGGAUGAACGCUGGCGGCGUGCCUAAUACAUGCAAGUCGAGCGAACGGACGAGAAGCUUGCUUCUCUGAUGUUAGCGGCGGACGGGUGAGUAACACGUGGAUAACCUACCURUAAGACUGGGAUAACUUCGGGAAACCGGAGCUAAUACCGGAUAAUAUUUUGAACCGCAUGGUUCAAAAGUGAAAGACGGUCUUGCUGUCACUUAUAGAUGGAUCCGCGCUGCAUUAGCUAGUUGGUAAGGUAACGGCUUACCAAGGCAACGAUGCAUAGCCGACCUGAGAGGGUGAUCGGCCACACUGGAACUGAGACACGGUCCAGACUCCUACGGGAGGCAGCAGUAGGGAAUCUUCCGCAAUGGGC
This 387-nucleotide ribosomal RNA is filed under the name Staphylococcus aureus. Its description in RNAcentral is "bacterial SSU rRNA". It matches the Rfam family "Bacterial small subunit ribosomal RNA", at positions 1 to 376 of the family's 1533-position model. The record is from RNAcentral. Lineage: Bacteria; Bacillati; Bacillota; Bacilli; Caryophanales; Staphylococcaceae.